GUCUGUCAUGCGAUAUUCGGCUAAAGUGAAAGUAGGAGUUGAAUGCCUUGUUUCACUAAAAAGAACAUUGCUCAGAUAUUUUCUCUGGACUACCAAUUUCUGUACUUCAUGUGAUGCCGUGUUGGAGCCCUCCCAAGAACCUCCCUUGUAGGUGUUCUAUAAUAAGAUUUCAAAUUAAAAGAGGAAAUGGUUCUAAUGACAGAGGCUUUGUCCAUGUUGGUUUGUCUCAAUCUUUUGGAAAACAGUGUUGCAGAAAAUAUCAGCAACAUAUGAAGACUCUGAUUUAGUUUAUUACAAUGUGACUUGAAAGUUAUAUCUGAUUUCAUGGUAGUAUUUACACAUGUGUUGAACGUUCCGAACAUCAUUGAAAAAGAUUAUAUGAUGACAAUAAACAAAAAUACAUAUAUGAACUUUCCACAAGUUUCCAAUGAAGAACAUUUUGGGAUCUUGGUAAAGGAUAUUGUAAUUAAAAUUUUUACCU
Saccostrea cuccullata (small rock oyster) is the source of this 481-nucleotide long non-coding RNA. RefSeq lists it as uncharacterized. NCBI's taxonomy places the organism in Eukaryota, Metazoa, Mollusca, Bivalvia, Ostreida, Ostreidae. The record is from RefSeq and is a predicted model, not a curated record. The transcript is spliced from 3 exons.